CUUGAGUUCAACCUCUGGCUUCAAAAUGGGAAGCUGUUGUUUCUUCUCAUGGUUUUUACAUUUGUUUGACCAGCAGGAGGAUAGACCAACCUCUUCUCUUCCUCCUGACUCCUUUUCUCGUCCAUUCAGAUCCAGGAAAGCUCCUGCCUGAGGCGGGUGUCACUCCAAGCCGAGCCGACAUCAGGGGACAGCGGCGCUCGCCCCUGCGGUUUGGAGCCGGGUCUGGGCCGGGGGAGGCGGAGGCCUGCUGAGCCGGGCGGGGCUCGGAGCUCUCGGCGGCUGACUGCUUCGGCUUGAGGACUUGCUGCUCCGUCUCACAGGGGGGUUUCGUGUCUGCAGCCCGGGGAGUCAGGGGCUGUUUCUGUCUGGUGUCCGGGGACUUCCCGGACACCCGCAUGGCGUGACCUUCCUGGAGGCCUCUUCCUGCCUGGUUGAUCGCAGCCGGAGCUCAGUAAAGCUCUGGAAACAAAAGGACUUGAAGCGCAGAAGGACGGAGGCACUUUGUGAAGUCCUGCUCGGGAUUUCCUGGGAUCUGAAGGAAGUUCAUUUCUGAAGGCAAACUGGAGGCCCAUGCCACAGCCCAGUGCCGAUCCACGUCCCCUUAUUUUGGUGUUGCUGCUAGCACAGGAGAUGCGCAGUGUCUCAGAAACCGAUCUGCAUCUUGGCGAUUGAGAUGAGAUUUGUUUGGUAGAAAAACCAAAUGGUUUUCUAGAUGUUGGCUGUACAAAUCAUGAGGACUGCGCGAAAGUAAUGGGCUGAGCUGACUGCCAACAGGAACUGCUAUUUAAAGAUGGGUGUGGCGCUCAAGGAGCUACUGGAGUGGACACCGCCCAGCCUGGACCCCUCUGGCAGGCCACUUCCCCAGCUUCCAGGAGUGUCGGCUGCGAAUAUCGCACAGCUUCCCUUUCUCCAGAGAAUUGCCCUGGGCCAACAGAAGCCUCUUUGCAGGAGGCCACUGUCCUCUCCACCCAGCCUGUAGAAAUGAUGGACGGGACAGGAGGGGUACAAAAGCUGAGGUGCCUUGCUGGAGGGCCUCCCCCUCUUCCCCAGCCUGCUUCCCUCAGCUCCUGCAGCUUCUUCCUUUCAAGGACCCUCUCAGUGGAUCCCGGACCCCUGAAUUCUGUCUCAGGCUCUGCCUCAGGGAGCCCAGCCCUUCCCUAUCUUACUGUUGAAGACACGUGGGUGUGAGAGGUGGAGACAUAAGGGCGCCCUUGCUCUUCUGUGCCUGCAGUCGAUUUGGCAGGUUGCUUCUCGUGUGCUCUCUGCAGAAACAGAUGCCCUUGUGAUGACUGCAUCCGGGACCUCUGCGGACUUGAGCAGUUAUUUGAGUUCCAACUUUCACCAGUUGUGAGAAGACUUUAAAUAUUCUGACCCUAAACCGUCUUGGGAUGGCUGAUGUCAUGAAAAUUCUUGAGUCAUAGAAGCCAUUUGCUGUUUAUUCUGCUGAGAGUGUUUUGCAGAAUCUUUCAUCCUUGAGCCUUCUGUUGUAGUCUCAGGUCUGUGGCGUUUUUAAUGACUUGGAAACACGGGCCUGGACUAUCCAGAAGCCUCUGCUAUUCCUUUAUGGGGAAUGCUCUCUCCCUUCCCCUCUGCCGAAUCAAGUCCCUCAGCCUACAGAAACCACGCUCCUGGAACAUUCUCUGAGGACCCUGCCCCUGUCUGCUCACUCGGGUCACUCCUCCAUCCCUCUGACAUUGCUCAUUAGAAUUCCACAGAGGUGUGCUCAGUCAAAGUGAAGACACAUGCAGGCUUUCUUCAUUUAAAAUUAAAAAAAAAAUUUGUGGAGGGGCCAGCACAGUGGUGUAGUGGUUAAGUUCGUGUGCUUGGCUUUCGCGGCCCAGAGUUCAAGGGUUUGGAUCUGGGGUGCAGACCUACACACUGCUCAUCAAGCCAUUCUGUGGUGGCGUCCCGCAUAAAAUAGAGGAAGAUUGGCACAGUUGUUAGCUCAGCAGCAAUCUUCCUCAAGCAAAAAGAGGAAAAACAUUGGCAACACAUGUUAGCUCAGGGCCAAUCUUCUUCACCAAAAAAAAAAAAAAAAAUUGUGGAAUAACAUACAUAAAGGGCACACAUCUUAAGGGUGCAGGUUGAUGAAUUUUUACAAACGUAUUUCCCAGGAAAGCACCACCUGUGUCGAGAUCUAGGAUGUUUCCUUCUCAGUCCAUUAUCAUCCACCCACCAGGAACAGGUAACCACUCUUCUGUCUUCUGAUAACAGAAGAGCUGUGCUUCUUGAGCUUCAUGUAAAUAGAAUCAUACAGUCUGUAUUCCUUUGUAUCUGGCCUCACUCGCUCGCCGUUACAUCUUGAGAUUCCCCCACCUUGUUUGUGCUUUUGUUUAGAGCAUCUCCUGUCGUAUGUUUUCACGUCUUAUUUCUCUGUAUGUUUUGCCCUAUCUUCUGCUUUACCCUCCAUACUUAAAGUACAGGCUGUGUCUUUUCUGUAUUUCGUAUCUUAGCAUAUGGUGGACAUUUGCAAAUAUUACAUGGCGGAUGCUGCCUAGAUUCCAGUUCACAUGGCUACUCAGUGACAGCGAGCUUUUAUCUUCUCUCCCCGUGAGCAUUGCUCGUCCAGUCGAAAUAGUUGUGUCGAGGGCUGAAGCAUGUUUCACUGUAAUAAUAACAACAGUAAUAAAUAUUUAUAAGACCUUUAUCCAAGGGAUUCAGAGUGACUUGCAGUUUCUAGUUCACCUUUUCAUUUUCUUUUGGAGCUAUGCAGGAAAGCCACAGAACCCUUUUGCUGAUGGGUGAGCUGAGAUGGUCUGAGGCUAAGCGGCUGCCCCAAGUCCUGGAGAACAUCGGGGCGAAGUGAAGCUGUAAUCUCGUUGUCGCUGCCUCUCUCUCUGGGAUUCAGUCCUCGGCUUCCCUGAGCCCUGGGAGUGCUUAGGACUGUGCCAUGGAAGGAGACGCUCACACAGAUGGCACUGGGGGCCUCACGGUUUCGGAACCGUCCUCUUUUCAGUUCUUGUCGUGCUGUUGUUUCAGUGUGUGUGUGAGGGUUUGUGGCCUGUCCUUAACCUCUACCCUCUGUGACACUUUUUAUUGUGUUACUUUUAAGAAACCGGAUGUAGAAAGUUACAGGUUUAGGACACGAUGAGGGGAGCCGUUAGUCAGCGCUCUUCCACAGUGGACGCGCGUGGCGUUUCCAGUUUCUGGGGAGCUCGGUGCUCUGAGGACCACAGUUCAGGAGAGGCCGCUGUGCUGACCCCCUGUCCACCGUAUCUUUCCUUUUUGCCAUAAGCUCUCUUUUUUGUUUCCUGUGGAAUCACGUUUCCUAUUUAUAGUAGAAAUGAAUGGGAAACAGGAUUCAUUUGAUAAAAAGAAGUGAUGCCCAACUUCGCCAGAUAAUGUUUGAUGCCUUUGUAACAUAGAGAUACUCUCUAUUUGAUUCACAAACGUGUGCAAUUGGAACUACUCCAUGUAAACAACAUGCAGGAGGCACUUUUCACAUGAAGAGUUUGAAGACAGAGGGGCUAGGGGACAAAUUUGGACAAAUUUUGAGAGAAUUUGUAAAAUAAUUUAAAGUCACCUCUAUCUUCUCUUAAGUUUGGAGUUUGUUUGUCUUCACAUUGUUUAUCUUGAUGGGUUGUGCAGGGGAAGAAAAAUAUCUUUUCCUUCUACCCUUCUAGGUAUCUGGCUGGGGCCCUUCUAACAAAACACAGAUGAAUAAGAGAAAAGCAUAGAAAUUUAUUUAACAUAAGGUGUAUGUGACAUGGGAGACUUCGUGAGAAAACGAGGACCUGAAGAAGCGAUUGAACCUGAGUGUCUUUAUACUAGGUUUGAUGAAGAGCGGAAAGUCAUGGAAAAUGCGAUAGGACAAAGAGUAUGAGCUGAGGGGAGUGAACUGGGGAAACACAGCAAGGCCUCUUGGUCCAGAUCCUUCUCAGCAUCCCUCCUUCCUCGGAGGUAAGGAUGCUCCUCUCCUCGGGUACCAGGAGGGCCUCUCUCAUGAGGGUUUAGUGACCUGCUUCAGGGAGGGUCAGAGGGUCCUUCCUGCACCUGCUGUUUCUCAAAUUUCAGCUUAAACUAUUCAAUAUGCCAAGGUACCAUAUUUUGGGCUGUUGUGUCCUGAGCCCUGUCGUGGGGUAUAUUGAAAGCUUUCAACAUCACUAGCAUUUCAUUGCUUCUUUAUAAAUGGACUGAAAUGGGAAUUUCUCCCAAUUCCUAUCUUCUUUCUGUUUUUCUUAACUCAAAUUCAUGACUGAGAUAAUUGUAAUUUUCUUCUUGACUUCUAGUGUGAUUUAACAGGAUGCUCUAUGACCAAUAGCAUAUACGUUAGUGGCAAUUGACCCCUCAAUUUUGAGACAUGUUUAACUGUUUUUGAUUCCUCAAGCUCAAAUCAUGAAUGUACCCAAAUAAAGAAUAAAAUACUCUUCUUGAAAACACACACGCAGUAAAAUAGUAAAUAUGAACAAAGGAUCUGGUGCUGGCACAUGUUAAAAUUCAGGUAAUGAUGCUCUUUCUCUGUUUUGAAAAAAGUUAAAAUUCCACAUAGGUGCUCAGUCCAGGAAGGAAAGUCUUCACAAUCUACUUUGUUCAUGAGAUGCUUUAACAAUAAACAGCAUGGCUAUUCUGGAAGCACCUGUUAAACCAAUUAUAUGGCAAAUUUUCAAGUUCUAGAAUGAGCAGAUUUGUAAUUGGUGAAAGAUUUGAUAACCAAGAGAAGACAGGCUCUCGAGGAGACAGCAGGUGGUGAACAGGGAGUGUGUGAGCGGGAUCUUGCUGGUGUCUGUGUCUUACUGCAACCUGGAAAUUAGCCACUUUUACAUGCAAUAUUUUUUUUUCACGUAACAGUUCCCAAAUAAACAGUUAAAGCAGUUUCCGGUGAUUAAGGCAAUAUAGGAGAUUAGUUUUGUUAUGUAUAAUCACCUUUGCUUCUCCUUUAUUGAUGAAAAGAGUUUUUCUCAGCGGGUUGUGUUAUCUCUUUUAGAUGUUGCCUGAUCUUGUUUUUUAAAUGUAAAUCAGCUUUUUAAUCUUUUUUUAUGUAAAUUUGAUAGCCCGGUACCAGCAAUUAUUCUGCUUUGUUGCAGCUCCCUCUUUAGAACUGUCUCUGUUUUAUGUUUAAUUGUCCUAAUUGUCCAAAUUUGAAUAAACCUGGAGAACAGCAAUGGAGAUCAUUACUUGUUUUUAAAUUUACAAAAAGGUUUAAGCCCUGCUUCCUGAACUUCCCUUUA
Long non-coding RNA from Equus caballus (horse), 5168 nucleotides. The record is from Ensembl. Lineage: Eukaryota; Metazoa; Chordata; Mammalia; Perissodactyla; Equidae.